GAUGAACGCUGGCGGCGUGCCUAAUACAUGCAAGUCGAGCGAACAGACGAGGAGCUUGCUCCUCUGACGUUAGCGGCGGACGGGUGAGUAACACGUGGAUAACCUACCUAUAAGACUGGGAUAACUUCGGGAAACCGGAGCUAAUACCGGAUAAUAUAUUGAACCGCAUGGUUCAAUAGUGAAAGACGGUUUUGCUGUCACUUAUAGAUGGAUCCGCGCCGCAUUAGCUAGUUGGUAAGGUAACGGCUUACCAAGGCAACGAUGCGUAGCCGACCUGUGGGGGUGAUCGGCCACACUGGAACUGAGCCACGGUCCAGACUCCUACGGGAGGCAGCAGUAGGGAAUCUUCCGCAAUGGGCGAAAGCCUGACGGAGCAACGCCGCGUGAGUGAUGAAGGUCUUCGGAUCGUAAAACUCUGUUAUUAGGGAAGAACAAAUGUGUAAGUAACUAUGCACGUCUUGACGGUACCUAAUCAGAAAGCCACGGCUAACUACGUG
RNAcentral lists this ribosomal RNA (497 nucleotides) under uncultured bacterium. Its description in RNAcentral is "partial 16S ribosomal RNA". It matches the Rfam family "Bacterial small subunit ribosomal RNA", at positions 28 to 507 of the family's 1533-position model. The record is from RNAcentral.